AGUGGAGUGUUACAGUAGCAUACAUUUAUAUCAUUCAUGAGUAAAUAUUUUCCUUCCAUAGUGAUUAACGAAACUCCUCACAGGAUUAAAAAUGUUUGUAUGGGCAACGAAGAAGGGGCUAAGGAAGAAGACACGGUGAGAGACGUAAUGGAUUGAGCAAGCCUUCCGAAAAUUCCCACAGAGAGCUGCUCCAGCUUGGUCAUCAACUUGGUCAUCAACGCCCAGAAAAAAAGACGAAGGCGAAGACGAGACAAAAUACACAGAGUCACAGAGAUGACAUGAGAGAGAAUAAGUUGAGGAGAAAAAAAAUUUGAGGAGAAGCAAGAAAGAGAAGGAGUGAAGGCGACGCCUGCCAGAAAUGGUGUUGCUAGAGUCGAGAAUAAUUUAAAGACGAAAUGUUUAUAACUUGUUUUACACAUGUCUCGACCAAGGAGGAUGUUAUAC
Molecule: long non-coding RNA, 444 nt
Filed under: Brassica napus (rape)
Lineage: Eukaryota; Viridiplantae; Streptophyta; Magnoliopsida; Brassicales; Brassicaceae
Description: long non-coding RNA (BNAP_LNC024121)
Source: RNAcentral